This 829-nucleotide unclassified non-coding RNA is filed under the name Caenorhabditis elegans. RNAcentral describes it as "Non-coding transcript of protein-coding gene Y73F8A.32b". The record is from RNAcentral. Lineage: Eukaryota; Metazoa; Nematoda; Chromadorea; Rhabditida; Rhabditidae.
AUGAGCGAAUCAAGUCGAAACGUGAUGGACGAGAUAUCAAUCAACCAGCUCGGGAUGAAACGAGUCGAAUUGUCAGAUUCUCUUCGUCACCCUCUUCCUGAUCGUCAUCUUCGGAAGAUGAGUUCUGCGUGUCCACUUCGUCAGCCUCAUACGUGAAGCCCAUCGUCGAAGGUGCAUUGAAUGGUUGAUGUGGAGCUGGAAGAGGGAUGUUUUGGAAUGGCUCCAUGUCCAUAUCAUCACGCUUACACCACUUUUCUGGCCAGGACAAGUACAAAGGAAACGUGUCCAGCAAGCUCCACAGGAACAGUGACAGUUCUCGUCCUUGGCACAAGAGCAUCCCAAGCUGCGUGCCAACUUUCGCUGAACAUCGACGUCUGGAAAGGAGCUCCACGACGAAAGCAACCAGCCCACAACUUAUCAUAAUCUACAGAAACGAUGGACAAUGAUGAGAUCCAGUCAUUUUCCUUGAUGGGCCCACGAGCAUCUUCUUGGCAGUCGAGUUGUAGUGACCUUCAUGACGGCAAAUACGAUACACAGCGAGUCGACUCGACAUGUCCUCGCUAGAUCGAACUCGGAAGCUGGUGCAAGAAUCUCGCUCUCGCACACUCAGCCAGUUCUGAACAAUCAUCGACGCCAGGAUGCUGCUUUCUCCGCCAACCAACUGCCGUUUUUUUUGUUUUCUCUAUUUCCCGAAGGUUUCCAGCUCAUCUUGGGAAGAAGAUGGAUUCGACGCCAGGACCCUCCUCUCCACUCCGACCGACUCUUCUGGUUUUUCCCUGUACGUUUUCUCUGUAUUGUUCUGUUUUUCAAAUCUUCUUUGAAACUUUAA